This 497-nucleotide ribosomal RNA is filed under the name uncultured bacterium. RNAcentral's name for it is "partial 16S ribosomal RNA". It matches the Rfam family "Bacterial small subunit ribosomal RNA", at positions 28 to 507 of the family's 1533-position model. The record is from RNAcentral.
GAUGAACGCUGGCGGCGUGCCUAAUACAUGCAAGUCGAGCGAACAGACGAGGAGCUUGCUCCUCUGACGUUAGCGGCGGACGGGUGAGUAACACGUGGAUAACCCACCUAUAAGACUGGGAUAACUUCGGGAAACCGGAGCUAAUACCGGAUAAUAUAUUGAACCGCAUGGUUCAAUAGUGAAAGACGGUUUUGCUGUCACUUAUAGAUGGAUCCGCGCCGCAUUAGCUAGUUGGUAAGGUAACGGCUUACCAAGGCAACGAUGCGUAGCCGACCGGAGAGGGGGAUCGGCCACACUGGAACUGAGACACGGUCCAGACUCCUACGGGAGGCAGCAGUAGGGAAUCUUCCGCAAUGGGCGAAAGCUUGACGGAGCAACGCCGCGUGAGUGAUGAAGGUCUUCGGAUCGUAAAACUCUGUUAUUAGGGAAGAACAAAUGUGUAAGUAACUAUGCACGUCUUGACGGUACCUAAUCAGAAAGCCACGGCUAACUACGUG